AUAGUUACCUGGCAGGGGAGAUACCCUGAUCAGACAGGUGGGUUUCCCAGGAUGAGGCUCAUCCAUCGCGUUUGGCAUGUGCUGACCCCUGAGAUUUCCCCAAACGUGGGAAACUCAACUAUGUAAUUUAUGGUAGUGGGGGACUGCGUUUGCGUUCUCCCCUG
Ochotona princeps (American pika) is the source of this 164-nucleotide small nuclear RNA. RefSeq annotates it as U1 spliceosomal RNA. The record is from RefSeq and is a predicted model, not a curated record. NCBI's taxonomy places the organism in Eukaryota, Metazoa, Chordata, Mammalia, Lagomorpha, Ochotonidae. The transcript has a single exon.